RNAcentral lists this ribosomal RNA (1442 nucleotides) under bacterium. RNAcentral describes it as "bacterial SSU rRNA". It matches the Rfam family "Bacterial small subunit ribosomal RNA". The record is from RNAcentral.
CUGCGGCAGCUACACAUGCAAGUCGAGCGGUAGCACAGAGAGCUUGCUCUCGGGUGACGAGCGGCGGACGGGUGAGUAAUGUCUGGGAAACUGCCUGAUGGAGGGGGAUAACUACUGGAAACGGUAGCUAAUACCGCAUAAUGUCGCAAGACCAAAGAGGGGGACCUUCGGGCCUCUUGCCAUCAGAUGUGCCCAGAUGGGAUUAGCUAGUAGGUGGGGUAACGGCUCACCUAGGCGACGAUCCCUAGCUGGUCUGAGAGGAUGACCAGCCACACUGGAACUGAGACACGGUCCAGACUCCUACGGGAGGCAGCAGUGGGGAAUAUUGCACAAUGGGCGCAAGCCUGAUGCAGCCAUGCCGCGUGUAUGAAGAAGGCCUUCGGGUUGUAAAGUACUUUCAGCGGGGAGGAAGGUGUUGAGGUUAAUAACCUCAGCAAUUGACGUUACCCGCAGAAGAAGCACCGGCUAACUCCGUGCCAGCAGCCGCGGUAAUACGGAGGGUGCAAGCGUUAAUCGGAAUUACUGGGCGUAAAGCGCACGCAGGCGGUCUGUCAAGUCGGAUGUGAAAUCCCCGGGCUCAACCUGGGAACUGCAUUCGAAACUGGCAGGCUAGAGUCUUGUAGAGGGGGGUAGAAUUCCAGGUGUAGCGGUGAAAUGCGUAGAGAUCUGGAGGAAUACCGGUGGCGAAGGCGGCCCCCUGGACAAAGACUGACGCUCAGGUGCGAAAGCGUGGGGAGCAAACAGGAUUAGAUACCCUGGUAGUCCACGCCGUAAACGAUGUCGACUUGGAGGUUGUGCCCUUGAGGMGUGGCUUCCGGAGCUAACGCGUUAAGUCGACCGCCUGGGGAGUACGGCCGCAAGGUUAAAACUCAAAUGAAUUGACGGGGGCCCGCACAAGCGGUGGAGCAUGUGGUUUAAUUCGAUGCAACGCGAAGAACCUUACCUACUCUUGACAUCCAGAGAACUUUCCAGAGAUGGAUUGGUGCCUUCGGGAACUCUGAGACAGGUGCUGCAUGGCUGUCGUCAGCUCGUGUUGUGAAAUGUUGGGUUAAGUCCCGCAACGAGCGCAACCCUUAUCCUUUGUUGCCAGCGGUCCGGCCGGGAACUCAAAGGAGACUGCCAGUGAUAAACUGGAGGAAGGUGGGGAUGACGUCAAGUCAUCAUGGCCCUUACGAGUAGGGCUACACACGUGCUACAAUGGCGCAUACAAAGAGAAGCGACCUCGCGAGAGCAAGCGGACCUCAUAAAGUGCGUCGUAGUCCGGAUUGGAGUCUGCAACUCGACUCCAUGAAGUCGGAAUCGCUAGUAAUCGUAGAUCAGAAUGCUACGGUGAAUACGUUCCCGGGCCUUGUACACACCGCCCGUCACACCAUGGGAGUGGGUUGCAAAAGAAGUAGGUAGCUUAACCUUCGGGAGGGCGCUACCCACUUUGUAUUACGGGC